RNAcentral lists this small RNA (119 nucleotides) under unclassified sequences. RNAcentral's name for it is "Mahella-1 RNA". It matches the Rfam family "Mahella-1 RNA". The record is from Rfam by way of RNAcentral.
GCCAGGCUGCUGUAAAAGCACAAGCCAAUGUGCUUUCCUCUGAAGAGGGGUUAGCAGCGAGCAGCGCCAUGCCGCAGGGCAGGGGUGCUGCAGAAAAGGCCGGUAAAUAUGCCGGUAAA